GACCUAAUGGUGAAACGGUAUCACGUCCGCAGUUUGUAUAAUGUGACCAAUCAGCUUUAGUGGAAGUCCCUGGUUCGACUCCAGGUUAGGUCA
Molecule: non-coding RNA, 93 nt
Organism: Mycena latifolia
Lineage: Eukaryota; Fungi; Basidiomycota; Agaricomycetes; Agaricales; Mycenaceae
Source: the annotation of a GenBank genome assembly